Molecule: long non-coding RNA, 634 nt
Filed under: Homo sapiens (human)
Lineage: Eukaryota; Metazoa; Chordata; Mammalia; Primates; Hominidae
Description: HSALNT0323739
Source: RNAcentral
GAUCAUUUUAUCAGAGACUGUUUGCUGUGCAGAGAGAGAGACUGCACGUGUUAAAAGCACAUUUUCUGGAGCCAGAUUGCCUGGAUUCCAAUCCCAGCUCCACCACUCACCAGCUGUGUAACCUUGGGCACUUCGCUUCUCAUUUCUAGGCUUCAUUCCCUCACUGUAAAUGGGGCUGGACUGCACUGGGGCUAUCGUGGCUCACUGCAACCUCUGCUGUCCGGGUUCAAGCGAUUCUCCUGCCUCAGCCACUCGAGUAGCUGGGAUUACAGACACCCACCACCACACCCAGCUAAUUUUUGUAUUUUUAGUAGAGACGGGGUUCCACCAGGUUGGCCAGGCUGGUCUUGAACUCCUGAUCUCGGGUGAUCCGCCCACCUCGGCCUCCCAAAGUGCUGAGAUUAUAGGUGUGAGCCACCAUGCCCAGCUACAUAUAUAUGUUUUUGCCUUUCCAAUUAGAUAACAAAUCUUUGAGGGUGGGAGCCAGGCUUGUGAUUUUUCUAGUAUUGUUCCAGAGUAUCCUGCGCUGGGCUCAGCACAAAACAGUUGCUCCAUAAAGUCUAGUUGGAUUUAAUUGAAGUACUUCUGUAGCAAAACUUUGCAGCACUUACUUUGGGGCAGCUUUCUCAGCUGG